GACGUAGGGCGCGAGCGUUGUCCGGAUUUAUUGGGCGUAAAGAGCUCGUAGGCGGCUUGUCGCGUCGAAUGUGAAAACCCACGGCUCAACUGUGGGCUUGCAUUCGAUACGGGCAGGCUAGAGUUCGGUAGGGGAGACUGGAAUCCUGGUGUAGCGGUGGAAUGCGCAGAUAUCAGGAGGAACACCAGUGCGGAAGGCAGAUCUCUGGGCCGUAACUGACGCUGAGGAGCGAAAGCAUGGGGAGCGAACAGGAUUA
This 256-nucleotide ribosomal RNA is filed under the name uncultured bacterium. RNAcentral's name for it is "partial 16S ribosomal RNA". It matches the Rfam family "Bacterial small subunit ribosomal RNA", at positions 524 to 780 of the family's 1533-position model. The record is from RNAcentral.